CUUUGCGAUGGAUCACUUGGCUAUUGUGACGAUGAAGAACGUAGCAAGUUGCGAAAAGUAAUGUGACAUGCAAAACUCGUGAAUCAUCGAAUUUUCGAACAUAUCCAAUGCUUCUCUCUUCUACGGAAUUGCGAAGCGCUUACUUGUGAGUGCCAGUUUUUCUUACUUACUGGAACUGAGAAAGUGAAAACGAAGCCGGGUUUCCGGAUUUCUCUCUUCCAUCAGUAACCGAAAGGUGGACUUAUGACAGUUCUCUUUUGUAAACUCCUGGCCUCAUCUGUGAGAGGUUACCCACUAAAUUUAAGCAUAUUAAUAA
This 316-nucleotide ribosomal RNA is filed under the name Vahlkampfia avara. RNAcentral's name for it is "eukaryotic LSU rRNA". The stretch from base 1 to 155 matches the Rfam family "5.8S ribosomal RNA". Lineage: Eukaryota; Heterolobosea; Eutetramitea; Acrasida; Vahlkampfiidae. The record is from RNAcentral.